This 313-nucleotide long non-coding RNA is filed under the name Mytilus galloprovincialis (Mediterranean mussel). The record is from RNAcentral. Lineage: Eukaryota; Metazoa; Mollusca; Bivalvia; Mytilida; Mytilidae.
UCAUGUAAUUGUCUUCGCUGGGAAAGGUGCAUUGUUGUAGACAUUUGGUUUCUGGACAAUAACUUUAGUAUAAGUAAAUAUAAAUCUAUGAAAUUUAAACACAAGGUUUAUAACCAUAAAAGUAAGGUUGGGAUUGAUUUUGGGGUUAGGAAUUAUAGGCAAAAAAGGAGUCCAAAUAAACAUUUUUCUAGUUUCCAGACAUUAACUGGUGGAACGGUGCAUGGAUCUCUCAGAAAUUAUACCACACAUUUCCAUACUUCAAAGGGAUAGUUAAGAUUGGCUUUGGGGGUUAAAAUCGUUUAGGAAUUAGGGG